Long non-coding RNA from Scophthalmus maximus (turbot), 823 nucleotides. RefSeq lists it as uncharacterized. Lineage: Eukaryota; Metazoa; Chordata; Actinopteri; Pleuronectiformes; Scophthalmidae. The record is from RefSeq and is a predicted model, not a curated record. The transcript has 3 exons.
AAUACGGAAGAAGUCCGCAACAUUUAAUUUUAAAUACGAGACGAUGUCGUGUUUUAAGGGACGGGUGGCCAAUCCUACUCGACACCCAGCGUGACCACACACACCGAGACUUCCGUAUUCUACUUUUCAUAUCGGGACACCUGGAGAGGACGAAAUCUACCUUUCAUCACCAGAGGUUGAUAACGUCAGGCUUCAGAGAGGCCACGCUGACACGGGACAGAACAUGAACAGACCUUAAUGGAUUUCCUCCAAAGACCACAGCACUGUAACAGUGGAAGCUAUCGUAAGAGUUCUAAAAGGAGGAUAUGAAGGUGUCCUGCCGUAAAUCCUGCCAUAAAGAGAAAGGAUGGGAUACGGAUUUAUCCAGCUAAGAGCCUGCACCGGUGGAUCCGGUCUACAAGAAGCAAGAUAGUGAGAGGAGGUGACAAGACUGGACGGCGACUGUGCGACGAGGAUCCACCUUGAUAAAAGGAAAAGAGGUAUGGAAGGGAUGCAAAAUGGAAAUGGGUUGAACCAAAAUCUAUACCAAAACACAUGAAAGCCCUCCAGUUUGAGGCAAACACACACACACGAUUCCAGUCUGGACGCCAUGAAAAUCUUCAGUAAAGCUUAUGACUAGACAAAAACACACCACGCGACUGCUGGCUCACGUCAACGGGCCUCUUUGAUUAAAAUGGUCCCUGGAAGAAAUUUCAGGAGCUAAAUAACGAGCUAAAAUUAUAUUUCUGCAGAUGUAUGCUUUUCAAAUCCCAUGACAUUACUAGAUCCACAACGAUUAGACAGAUUAAAAAAGCAUCAGUCUAGAUUGAGAUGUAAUAUUUGC